RNAcentral lists this ribosomal RNA (582 nucleotides) under Tetra pinnatifidae. RNAcentral describes it as "partial 28S ribosomal RNA". The record is from RNAcentral. Lineage: Eukaryota; Metazoa; Arthropoda; Arachnida; Trombidiformes; Eriophyidae.
AAAUAGAACUUUGCAGAGAGAGUUAACAGGGCGUGAAACCGUUGAUUGGCAAACGAAUCGGAGCCACGAAGUCGUUUCGUUGUUAGUUGGGCGGAGUUCAGUUCGCGCCGAAAGACGCGGGCGUAUUCUCACGCUCAUCCAACCUUGUAAGCGUACACUGCAACUUGUUAGACGAUCAGCUGUGGGCUGAGUGACGCAGAGCGAGCAAUCGCGCUGCGGCACGCAUUGUCUGUUCGCUCGCGGUAGUAGUAGCGCAGCUGACUUCGGUCUUUUUGUGUUGCUGGCCGCGUGGCGGGUGAACUACAGCUGAAUACUGACAAGCGAAAUGAAAACCGUUGAAAAACGUUAGAGAAAAAGCGGUUGGUCACAUGGAUAUUUACACGUUCGACUGUUAGGUCUAAGCUUGGCAUUUUUGAAUUCAGACCUGCUUGCUACCAGUGGGGCAACUCCUGGUGCUUGUACGGCUUCUGUCUAAUCGGGUGUCGACUUGGCUUGGCAUCGUUCGGGCGUGAAACGAUUGAGCGUUCAUAUGAACUAAUCCGCAAUUUAAACUGGCAGUGAGUAGGUCGGCUUUCCGAACGA